Molecule: ribosomal RNA, 463 nt
Filed under: uncultured bacterium
Lineage: Bacteria
Description: SSU rRNA
Rfam family: Bacterial small subunit ribosomal RNA
Source: RNAcentral
AGAACGAACGCUGGCGGCGUGAAUAAGACAUGCAAGUCGAACGGAAUAACUUGGUAGCAAUAUUAAGUUAUUUAGUGGCGAACGGGUGCGUAACACGUGGGUUACAUUCCGGGAAGUGGGGAAUAGCCCAGGGAAACUUGGAUUAAUGCCCCAUGUAGUCGCAAGACUAAAGGCGCAAGCCGCUUCCUGAUUGGCCCGCGGCCUAUCAGCUAGUUGGUGGGGUAACGGCCCACCAAGGCUACGACGGGUAGCUGGUCUAAGAGGAUGAUCAGCCACACUGGGACUGAGACACGGCCCAGACUCCUACGGGAGGCAGCAGUGGGGAAUAUUGGACAAUGGGCGAAAGCCUGAUCCAGCAAUGCCGCGUGUGUGAAGAAGGUCUUCGGAUUGUAAAGCACUUUCGACGGGGACGAUGAUGACGGUACCCGUAGAAGAAGCCCCGGCUAACUUCGUGCCAGCAGCC